AUUGAACGCUGGCGGCAGGCCUAACACAUGCAAGUCGAGCGGAUGAAGGGAGCUUGCUCCUGGAUUCAGCGGCGGACGGGUGAGUAAUGCCUAGGAAUCUGCCUGGUAGUGGGGGAUAACGUCCGGAAACGGGCGCUAAUACCGCAUACGUCCUGAGGGAGAAAGUGGGGGAUCUUCGGACCUCACGCUAUCAGAUGAGCCUAGGUCGGAUUAGCUAGUUGGUGGGGUAAAGGCCUACCAAGGCGACGAUCCGUAACUGGUCUGAGAGGAUGAUCAGUCACGGUGGAACAGCGACACAGACCAGACUCAGAGGGCAGGUGGGAGUGUGGAAUAUUGAAGCGUGGGAGAAUGAGUGAACGCCCCAUGGCGUGUGUGUGAAGAAGGUGGGCGGAUGGUAAAGCUGUUUAGGGGGGGAGGAGGAGUAGUAUGUUAAUACCUUGCUGUUGUGAAGUUAACAAAAGCAUAACCACCGGCUACCUUCGUGCCAGCAGCCGCGCUAAUAGUCGGCAGAGCACACGUGUGAUC
RNAcentral lists this ribosomal RNA (525 nucleotides) under uncultured bacterium. RNAcentral describes it as "partial 16S ribosomal RNA". It matches the Rfam family "Bacterial small subunit ribosomal RNA", at positions 36 to 538 of the family's 1533-position model. The record is from RNAcentral.